GGCGGACGGGUGAGUGACACGUGGGCAACCUGCCCUACAGAUGGGAAUAACUCCGGGAAACCGGGGCUAAUACCGAAUAAUCAGUUUGUCCGCAUGGACAAACUCUGAAAGACGGUUUCGGCUGUCACUGUAGGAUGGGCCCGCGGCGCAUUAGCUAGUUGGUGGGGUAAUGGCCUACCAAGGCAACGAUGCGUAGCCGACCUGAGAGGGUGAUCGGCCACACUGGGACUGAGACACGGCCCAGACUCCUACGGGAGGCAGCAGUAGGGAAUCUUCCACAAUGGACGAAAGUCUGAUGGAGCAAUGCCGCGUGAGCGAAGAAGGUUUUCGGAUCGUAAAGCUCUGUUGUAAGGGAAGAACACGUACGGGAGUAACUGCCCGUGCCAUGACGGUACCUUAUUAGAAAGCCACGGCUCACUACGUGCCAGCAGCCGCGGUAAUACGUAGGUGGCAAGCGUUGUCCGGAAUUAUUGGGCGUAAAGCGCGCGCAGGCGGUUCUUUAAGUCUGAUGUGAAAGCCCACGGCUCAAC
RNAcentral lists this ribosomal RNA (530 nucleotides) under uncultured Bacillus sp. RNAcentral's name for it is "bacterial SSU rRNA". It matches the Rfam family "Bacterial small subunit ribosomal RNA", at positions 97 to 613 of the family's 1533-position model. The record is from RNAcentral. Lineage: Bacteria; Bacillati; Bacillota; Bacilli; Caryophanales; Bacillaceae.